RNAcentral lists this ribosomal RNA (937 nucleotides) under uncultured archaeon. Its description in RNAcentral is "bacterial SSU rRNA". It matches the Rfam family "Archaeal small subunit ribosomal RNA", at positions 1 to 922 of the family's 1478-position model. The record is from RNAcentral.
UUCCGGUGAUCUGCCGACCCUACUGCUAUCGGGGUGGGACUAAACAUGCUAGUCGAGCGCUCAAGCUAUGGUGAAGACGCGACGAACGGCUCAGUAACACGUGGCCACCUACCCUCAGGACGGAGACAACCCCGGGAACUGGGGCUAAUCCCCGAUAGGUGAGGACGCCUGGAAUGACCCCUCACCCAAAGGACGUUGAAACCAUGCUUUUCAGCGUCGCCUAAGGAUGGAGCCGCGGCCGAUCAGGUUGUUGGUGGGGCAAAGGCUCACCAAGCCUAUAACCGGUACGGGCCAUGAGAGUGGGAGCCCGGAGAUGGGCACUGAGACAAGGGCCCAGGCCCUACGGGGCGCAGCAGUUGCGAAACCUCCACAAUGCACGAAAGUGUGAUGGGGCUAACCCGAGUGCCGUCCGCUGAGGAUGGCUUUUCUCCGCUGUAAGGAGGCGGAGGAAUAAGGAGAGGGCAAGACUGGUGUCAGCCGCCGCGGUAAUACCAGCUCUCCGAGUGGUAGGGACGAUUAUUGGGCUUAAAGCGUUCGUAGCCGGCCUGGCAAGUCUCUCGUCAAAUCCAGCGACCCAAUCGCUGGGCCGCGGGAGAUACUACUAGGCUUGGGAGCGGGAGAGGUCGACGGUAUUCCCGGGGUAGGAGUGAAAUCCUGUAAUCCCGGGAGGACCACCAGUGGCGAAGGCUGUCGACUAGAACGCGUCCGACGGUGAGGGACGAAAGCUGGGGGAGCGAACCGGAUUAGAUACCCGGGUAGUCCCAGCUGUAAACGAUGCGGGCUAGGUGUCGGUGUGGCUACGAGCCACUCCGGCGCCGCAGGGAAGCUCUUAAGCCCGCCGCCUGGGAAGUACGGUCGCAAGGCUGAAACUUAAAGGAAUUGGCGGGGGAGCACCACCAGGGGUGAAGCUUGCGGUUCAAUUGGACUCAACGCCGGU